AGAGUUUGAUCAUGGCUCAGAAUGAACGUUGGCGGCGUGGAUUAGGCAUGCAAGUCGAGCGGCAGCAGGCCCCGCAAGGGGCGCUGGCGAGCGGCGAAAGGGAGAGUAACACGCGGGUACCUGCCCUCGGGCCCGGGAUAGCUGCGGGAAACUGCAAUUAAUACCGGAUAAUGUCCCUGGACCAAAGGUGUGAUUCCGCCUGAGGAGGGGCCCACGUCCUAUCAGCUAGUUGGUGAGGUAACGGCUCACCAAGGCUACGACGGGUACGGGGUGUGAGAGCAUGCCCCCGCUCACUGGGACUGAGACACUGCCCAGACACCUACGGGUGGCUGCAGUCGAGAAUCUUCCGCAAUGGGCGAAAGCCUGACGGAGCGACGCCGCGUGCGGGAUGAAGGCCUUCGGGUUGUAAACCGCUGUCAGAGGGGAACAAGUUCAUGGGGGUUCUCCCCUAUGUUUGAGUGAUCCUCAGAGGAAGCGCAGGCUAAGUCCGUGCCAGCAGCCGCGGUAACACGGACUGCGCGAACGUUAUUCGGAAUCACUGGGCUUAAAGAGUCCGUAGGCGGCCGUGCAGGUGGGGUGUGAAAUCCCUCGGCUUAACCGAGGAAUUGCGCUCCAAACCACACGGCUUGAGAGAGAUAGAGGUGAGCGGAACUCACGGUGGAGCGGUGAAAUGCGUUGAUAUCGUGAGGAACACCGGUGGC
This 701-nucleotide ribosomal RNA is filed under the name uncultured bacterium. Its description in RNAcentral is "bacterial SSU rRNA". It matches the Rfam family "Bacterial small subunit ribosomal RNA", at positions 8 to 716 of the family's 1533-position model. The record is from RNAcentral.